GAGGGGUCACCGUUGGGGGGAAUGAAUGGUGGGGGGAGGACCCAGCCCCUGGCCGAGCCCUUAGAUGGCUCAGCAGCCGCCUUCGUAAGGCUUAUCACGGAGCGCCCCCUCCACGGAUCCAAAUGUUCCUCCUUUGGGACCAGCAGUCUCUGACCUGCGGGCCUUUGCCCCGGGCGUGCACGCCCUCCCCACCGAGGCCCCGGCCCAGGACCGCUGUGUAGGUGCGCUAGUGAGGGGGCCCCUUGUUUGUCUCUCUGCUCUGUACCCCGUACAGGAGAGUUCGGAGGAGGGACGGCGACUGCACAGAUGACCGCCGAGCUUCCAUUCCAUCCACAUGGGCUUCCUCUGCCCUCCUUUAGCCCAGGCCUCGGCACGGAGUUAAGGAAGGCUGCAAAGGGGCAGGACCGGAGCUCUCUCCAGGCCAACGUCCGCCCGGCGGGGGGGGUCCCGGAGGGCACAGGAGAGGCCGGAGCCUUGGCUUGCUGAAGACCCAGGAGUUCUUCCCUGGGUAAAAAUAGCCUGGAGGAGCCAGCGAGCUGAAUGAGCAGUUCCGGGCCAGCCCCUCCGGAUGGGCCAGGCUCAAGGUCUGCCCCUUCAAAUAUUCAUGAGGCCGCCUCCGGCCUUCCUCUUAAUGGCAGGCGGCUCUCCCAGGAAUCCAUCACAUGCCCCUGCCUGGCCGGGCUUCCUUAAAGGGCCAGCGCUGGACAAAAGCCGGGAAGCCAUGAAGGUGCCCAGGGAGGCUCUCUAUGGGGGGGGGCGCCGGUCUCAGCAUCUUCUGCCCCCCCCCCCCGCAGGUGGAUGGAUGGGUCACGUGACUCAGACAGUCACAGAAAGGGCUCGUUUGUCACAAGGUGGUUCUUUUCCUCCCGAGGAGCAGACGAGGAGCGGAUUCACGCCCAGAGAGCUACAGUGGCAGACCUGGCAGGGCCCGGGACGGCGCGUCCCCUCUCCCUGCGCUUCUACGGAGGGGCCAGCGAGGCCCGGAAGGCUGAAGGAGCCAGCGGGAGAGAGGAGGAACCCAGGCCGUGCGGCUUCCUCACAGAAGGCCUGGCACGGGGCGUCAGACUCAGUUUCCCCAUCUGUAAAAUGAGGGGGUUGGACUAGCUGGCCUCUGAAGUCCCCUCCAGCUCUGUCCGGCCCGUGACCCGAAGUCACUCCCUCUUCCGGAGCCUGGUUCCUGCAGGAGACCCAACAGUGAGCUCAUCCCUGAAGCGCUUCUGUGUGUUGCCCUUGGGUUUGGGGAGAAAAGGAACAAAUAAAAAGGAUUUCUGCCCUCUGGGUGCUCCGUCUGGGUCCUGGGGUCACUGGGGUCACGAGGAGGCCCUAUAGACAUCCACUGCACCCCCAUUUUACAGAUGAAGAAACUGAGGCCGCGGGGACGCUUCCUCUCCACGCCCGACUCCCCGCCUGGGGACCCCGAGGAGCCCUCAGGGCUCGCCCCAUCCCAGCCCUCUUCCGCGGGCAAACCCAGGGCAAACCCAGGGCGAGGCUGCCCAGGACGGGCUUCGCCCGCGACCCGUCCUCACAGCUCUUCGGGCCUGGCCACAGCUGGCUCCCAGCGAGAUGUGGCUUGUUCCGUGCCUGGACGCUGUAGCCCAGGACGUGCUGUUGGGUCACUCUCAGGUUGCCUUCUCCCGGGAUGCCCGAUGGCGAUGGCAGACUCUGUCCCGCGCGGGCGGCUCUUCCGGGCACCAGAGAGUCCCGGCCGCUCCCUCCCGGCCCUCCAAAGGACCGAGGCGUAGGGAGGGCCGGCCGCGGUGGAACCCAGCCAAGGGCCGCUCUGGACCAGACGGAACGGGACGGCGGGGCGUCUCCCAGGGCGACGGGAUGCUCACUGCCUCGGAGGAGAGGGAGAUCCGCCAGGCGGAGGCCCCGGGAAAGGGCCCCGGCUUGGGCAGCUCGGGGAGAGCCGUUUCAGGUCGGAGUCAGAUGGGAAGGGUGAGAGGGGAGAGAGGGGAGAAAGCGGAGGCCUUCCUCCCUUCCCUCUCGUAGAAGCAGCCCCUAGACUCCUUCAAAGGAAGACAGAAUGCUUAGCAAGGGAGCCUUGGAGCCAGAGGGACUGGGUUCCAAUCCUGCCUCGGACACAUCCCGCUUGUGCUCCCUUGGGCAAGUCACUUCCUUGCGCCUGAAGCAACUCCCUAAGCCUACACAUUUCAGAAGGAUGCUGGGAGUUUCCUCAUCCAGAAGCUCCUCCUACUAAUCCAGGCCCAGGCCUGGAGCCUGUCUCUAGAGAAGGGCAGGUCUCUUGAGAGCCAUCAAGCAUCUACGCGGAACUCUUCUAGACUCUUCCACCCUAGUCAGGGAAGACCACCUAAGAAAGAGAGGGUCCAGGGAAGGCCACGUGAGAGGGGGCGCGGAGAGAAGGCUUGGGGAAGAGGACGGGACUCCCCUCAGGACCGGCACACUGCCAGGCACACUGCAGGCGCCGAGCACAACGGCUGUUGCCGUGGCAUCGCUGGCUCAGUGUCCAACUCUUGGGGACCUCCUUUGGGGUUUUCUUGGCCAGAUACCGAAGAGGCGGCACAUCUCUUCCUCCAGAUCGCUGACAGAUGAGGAAACUGAGGCAAACAGCAGCAAGUGACUUGCUCAGGGUCACACACCAAGCAAUUGUCAGGGGCUGGAUCUGAACUCACUUCAAGGGAGGAAUCUCUCUACCCCUCUCGAUGCGGUCAGCCCAUCAAAGCCUGGCCCAAAGUCCCACCUCCUUCAGGAAUCCCUCCAGGAUGCCUCCGGCCCGCAGAGCCCUGGAGCUCCCAUCCCACCUCGGGCACCAUCCGCGCUCAGACACAAGGUGAGGAGGGGCUGGAGGCCUCUUUCCUCCACGGUGCACGGAUGUGAUUUUCCACCCUUAAAGGCUCGAUGCCGAGAACUGUGCCCAGGGGCUCUGGGGUGCAAAGUCAGCAUGCCUGACCCGUCCUCGCCGCCUCAUCGGAGCUGCCGGAAAGAACUCGGCCACCACGGCCCCUUUCUACAGGCAGGGAAACUGAGUCUCCGGAGAGGGCGCGGCUCACCCAACGCCGCCCAGGGAGGGCGUGGCACAGGCCUAAUUUGGGCCCAAGUCUUUGGUCUCCAAAGCCAAGGUUCUCGCACACAGCGCCGGCCUCCUCCACUUUAUAGAGCCCACCAGCGGACUUGGGAGUUCAAAGUGACUUGACUUGGCCUCUGGCUUUAGACAACACAAGCCACCAGAACGUCCCCAAAGCCCAGUGGGGGCCCCCAAAUACCCGUCCCAGCCAUAGCCAGCGCCGCCCCUCUUCUCGGCACAGGAAGCCCUGUGGUCGGGUGGUGCGACGAGGAAAAGGAGGCUGGUGGCCUCGCCACUGUCCUGAACCCCACCAUCCCUCCCACAGACUCCCCCACCAAGCCUGAAGGCCCCCCGGAGCCUUGGGGAGGGGCUCGGUGCGCAGCUAUAGCCCAGGGGGAGGCCUGGCGAAGGCAAGAGACGGGAAGCCCAGUGAUAGGGAAGUCUGCUCGGGUCUGAAGCCUGACCUUGUUUCUCUCAGAUCUGCAAGGUCUGCGGAAUCCUUGAGUGUUUCUAGGUCCCCGGGGCCCCAACUUCAAACUUGGGCAUCUCGCUGCCUUUCGUGCCUCCCUUCCUCUUUCUUAGAGAAAUGGUCCUGGGGGAGGGGGACCAGGAAAACAGUGAGAACGAGGCCGGAGGCACAAAUCUCGCCAUUUAACGUGAUCACGAUCAAUACUGCUCAUGGCUUAAGAGCCCCCUGCCCUGGGGUGCCACGGAACGCCAUGGCCAGCCUCCUGGCACAGGCAGUAUCAGCGGGCAGAGGAGGCAAUCCAUCUCCUGCACUAUUAGGGCUUCCUGGAAAGCCAUUCAUCCUUCGCUAUCCCCUUUGGAGGCUUCUCUCAGAAUUCCCAGGCUUUCCCUGUAUUCUUGAAGCAUUUCUCUGGUUUGAACAGUAUUCUUCCUAAGCUCUUCUUUGUCAUUGGAUUUAGAACUGGGAAGGGUACCUUGGGGGCCAGCUGGCCUCAAUCUAUCAUCUUUCAGAUGAGGAAACGGAGGCCCAGGAAGGUAAGAUUUGAACCCAGAUCUUCUGACAAAUCUGAUGGACUCUGGGAGUCAGGGACAAAGGCUUGGGCUCAAAUAUUGACGUGGAUAUUUCCCCGCUGGGUCACUCUCCGAGCCUUCCCUUCCCUGGGCCUUUGAUUUUUUCAUCUCAAAGAUGAAAAGUGUGGACGCCAUGCUCUCUACGCUUCCCGCCAGUUCUAAAUCUCAGAUCUUUCCUGAAGAAGGCUCGUUCGUGCUCCACUCCCCACCCCCAGCUGCACUCGCAUUCUGGUACUCCAGACCCGGGAAGUUUACGUCUAUGAAGAAGCAGGAGAGGCAGCUGGGUAGCACAGCGGAUAAAGUGCCAGGCCUAGAGGGCAGGAGGGACGGGUUCAAAUUGGGCCGCAGACGUUUCUGAAGUAUAGACCCUGGGCCAGUCACUGCAUUCCAGUCGCCCAGCCCUUGCCGUUCUUCUUUCCUAAAACUGAUACUAAGACAGAAGGGGAGGCAGGGGAGAAGGAGGCACCUGGGAGUUGGGGGAGCACUGAAUGGGGAGAGAAACGUGGGAAGAGCGGGGACAUUAGAACCAAUAGAGUCAUGGGCUGCUGCCCAAUGAUAAUCACCCCGUCUGCUCUGUGCCUUGGUUUCUAUCCCUGACGUUUCCCAGGCCCGCUCCCCAGGCUUUAUCCUCCUUUACAUCAAAAAGAGAGAAAACAGUUCAGCAAAACUAACCAAGACAUAAAAAGCCUGACAUUGCCCAGGCAGGGUUCCAUAGCCAGAGUCCCCCGGCCUGCGAGAAGAGAAGGGAAGAGAAUCCACUGGUAGCUGCACCCUGCCUGGCCCUCUGAUGGCGGCUCCAUCCCUCAUUCAUGCUAAAAGCACUGGCGGAGGAGCCAAGCCUGCACCAGAGCAUCCUGCCUCCGACAAGAGAGGAUGGAGAGGAGAAGGAGCCUGCCCACAGGAAGCUCACCUUCUGGCUGGGAGGGCACCCACCAAACAAAAGGCAAAUCAAGCCCAGAGUGGGGCUGAGAGAACCACAGCAGCACUGAAUUCCAGGACCCAGUUGCUGGAGCUAGCUAACUGUGGUAGAAAUUCCAAGGAGAAAGUGGGGAAAGGGGGCUGAGGUUCCAGAAGGCUUCCUGGUGGAGGAGGCAACUGAGCUAGCCUUGGAAGGCUGGGAAGGGUUUGGUGAGCCAGCAGCAGAGAGGACAAUCUGUAGGGCCACCUGUGCCCUCUGCCAGGGGCCCUGAGGCUGGCCACCACACAGCAAAGAGACUGUGGCUGUGCGUGGGACCUGGGCCGGCCACGAGGGCCCCUUCCUUCAGCACCUGGAUUCUGUUGGACAGUUCCCAGGCAGUGGCUGGAAUGGGAAGGAGGAGGGGAAAUGGCUGGGAUACGGGGAGGGUAAUCUCCAGGCCAAAUCCCUCUGGAUGAUGCCUCUUCAAGGCUGUGAGGAGGAGCGAGGGGAGGAAGGGAGAGAUCUGAGUCCAUUCCUGUACACAGGGCCCCCUUGGGUGCUCUCGGCCGGCUCUGCACCUUCCCUCAGAGGGUCCAAGAUGGGGCUGAGGCAGGGCGGACAAUAUCCAUGCACCAUCUCUCUCCCCUUCUCCCACUCCCACAGGGGCUCUGCUCACCCCAGCCUGGGCCCUCAGUCUGGCUCCUGGGCAAGCAAGGGGUGGCCUAAUUCUUUCUCCAGAUGCCUGUCUUCAAGGCUCUUGCUGACAGUCGUCUUUAUAUUCACUUCAUGAUUUCCCACAAUGGCUAUUCCAGAUCUUUCCCAUCAUCCUGAAAUGGAAACUCAGCACCCUGCAGAGCACCUCACCCAGUGAACAGAGAGGCAUGAGCCCCGCUCAACUCCUCCUGCCCCUCCAAGCUUUCUGCACCCUUCUCCAGGCUCCUGCUCUCCCUGUUCCUCAGGGCUGCCUCUCUCUGGGCUCCAUCCAUUACCCCCAAUCUCCCUGCCUCCAAGGAUGCCUCCCAUCCGGUCCCCCUCCUGGGACAAGAUUUACGUGCCCAAAGCAAUAAGUUGGAGCCCGUUACUUCCCUGCUCUAAAACCUUACUAGCUACCCAUUGCCAAACAACUAUGGAGUUAGGAAGUUGGAUCAUGGCCCACGGUCACCCCUAGAAUAGGUGGCAAAGCCAGAAUUCAAACCCAGGUCCUUGGACUCCAAACGCAGGCUUCUUCCCACCGUCCCAAACCCCUUAGCCUGGUAUUCAAGACCCACCCUAAUCUUGCCCCAUCUACCCAGCCUUCGAGGCCCGGCUCAGUGGCUACUUUUCUCAGAAAGCUUUCCCUGCUUUUCCCCACAAACACUUUCCUCAAAGAACCCUCAUUCUUCAUCACAGAGAACUCCCACCAUCUGGGGCAUUUCUAUCGCUUCUCCUAUUAAAUGUAUUGAUAACGGAA
Monodelphis domestica (gray short-tailed opossum) is the source of this 6411-nucleotide long non-coding RNA. RefSeq lists it as uncharacterized. Lineage: Eukaryota; Metazoa; Chordata; Mammalia; Didelphimorphia; Didelphidae. The record is from RefSeq and is a predicted model, not a curated record.